UUGCAGAUAAUGAUUAUUUCCCCAAAUGAUUGAUACUAAAUUAAUUGAGCUGUCUUUCUUUUCUAAGAAUUCAAGCCAGGAAUCUGAUCCAU
This is a small nucleolar RNA of Hevea brasiliensis (rubber tree), 92 nucleotides long. RefSeq annotates it as small nucleolar RNA Z103. The record is from RefSeq and is a predicted model, not a curated record. The transcript has a single exon. NCBI's taxonomy places the organism in Eukaryota, Viridiplantae, Streptophyta, Magnoliopsida, Malpighiales, Euphorbiaceae.